RNAcentral lists this ribosomal RNA (506 nucleotides) under uncultured bacterium. RNAcentral's name for it is "partial 16S ribosomal RNA". It matches the Rfam family "Bacterial small subunit ribosomal RNA", at positions 28 to 523 of the family's 1533-position model. The record is from RNAcentral.
GAUGAACGCUAGCUACAGGCUUAACACAUGCAAGUCGAGGGGUAACGAGAGGAAAGCUUGCUUUCCUUGUCGACGACCGGCGCACGGGUGAGUAACGCGUAUCCAACCUGCCCCCAACUAGGGAAUAACCUUGCGAAAGUAAGACUAAUACCCUAUAAUUUCCUCAGAUGUCAUCUGACGAGGAAUAAAGAUUUAUCGGUUGUGGAUGGGGAUGCGUCUGAUUAGCUUGUUGGCGGGGUAACGGCCCACCAAGGCAACGAUCAGUAGGGGUUCUGAGAGGAAGGUCCCCCACAUUGGAACUGAGACACGGUCCAAACUCCUACGGGAGGCAGCAGUGAGGAAUAUUGGUCAAUGGGCGGAAGCCUGAACCAGCCAAUUAGCGUGCAGGAUGACGGCCCUAUGGGUUGUAAACUGCUUUUAUACAGGAAUAAAGUUAGCCACGUGUGGUUAUUUGUAGGUACUGUAUGAAUAAGGACCGGCUAACUUCGUGCCAGCAGCCGCGGUAA